UACGUAGGGCGCAAGCGUUGUCCGGAAUUAUUGGGCGUAAAGAGCUCGUAGGCGGUCUGUUACGUCCGCUGUGAAAACCCAGGGCUUAACCCUGGGCUUGCAGUGGAUACGGGUAGACUAGAGGCAGGUAGGGGAGAAUGGAAUUCCCGGUGUAGCGGUGAAAUGCGCAGAUAUCGGGAGGAACACCGGUGGCGAAGGCGGUUCUCUGGGACGUUACUGACACUGAGGCGCGAAAGCGUGGGGAGCGAACAGG
RNAcentral lists this ribosomal RNA (253 nucleotides) under uncultured bacterium. Its description in RNAcentral is "partial 16S ribosomal RNA". It matches the Rfam family "Bacterial small subunit ribosomal RNA", at positions 524 to 776 of the family's 1533-position model. The record is from RNAcentral.